CACGUAGGGGGCGAGCGUUGUCCGGAUUCAUUGGGCGUAAAGAGCUCGUAGGCGGCUUAGCAAGUCGGGUGUGAAAACUCCAGGCUCAACCUGGAGAGGCCACCCGAUACUGCUAUGGCUUGAGUCCGGUAGGGGGCCACGGAAUUCCUGGUGUAGCGGUGAAAUGCGCAGAUAUCAGGAGGAACACCGGUGGCGAAGGCGGUGGUCUGGGCCGGUACUGACGCUGAGGAGCGAAAGCGUGGGGA
Molecule: ribosomal RNA, 245 nt
Filed under: uncultured Aciditerrimonas sp.
Lineage: Bacteria; Bacillati; Actinomycetota; Acidimicrobiia; Acidimicrobiales; Acidimicrobiaceae
Description: partial 16S ribosomal RNA
Rfam family: Bacterial small subunit ribosomal RNA
Source: RNAcentral